RNAcentral lists this ribosomal RNA (497 nucleotides) under uncultured bacterium. Its description in RNAcentral is "partial 16S ribosomal RNA". It matches the Rfam family "Bacterial small subunit ribosomal RNA", at positions 28 to 507 of the family's 1533-position model. The record is from RNAcentral.
GAUGAACGCUGGCGGCGUGCCUAAUACAUGCAAGUCGAGCGAACGGACGAGAAGCUUGCUUCUCUGAUGUUAGCGGCGGACGGGUGAGUAACACGUGGAUAACCUACCUAUAAGACUGGGAUAACUUCGGGAAACCGGAGCUAAUACCGGAUAAUAUUUUGAACCGCAUGGUUCAAAAGUGAAAGACGGUCUUGCUGUCACUUAUAGAUGGAUCCGCGCUGCAUUAGCUAGUUGGUAAGGUAACGGCUUACCAAGGCAACAAUGCAUAGCCGACCUGAGAGGGUGAUCGGCCACACUGGAACUGAGACACGGUCCAGACGCCUACGGGAGGCAGCAGUAGGGAAUCUUCCGCAAAGGGCGAAAGCCUGACGGAGCAACGCCGCGUGAGUGAUGAAGGUCUUCGGAUCGUAAAACUCUGUUAUUAGGGAAGAACAUAUGUGUAAGUAACUGUGCACAUCUUGACGGUACCUAAUCAGAAAGCCACGGCUAACUACGUG